UGAGGAACAUGACUUUCGGCGGGGGAUAGCCGGCCCAACGGCCGGGUAAUACCGCGUACGACCACUCUGGGAC
RNAcentral lists this ribosomal RNA (73 nucleotides) under uncultured bacterium. RNAcentral's name for it is "partial 16S ribosomal RNA". The record is from RNAcentral.